CGGCGGACGGGUGAGUAACACGUGGAUAACCUACCUAUAAGACUGGGAUAACUUCGGGAAACCGGAGCUAAUACCGGAUAAUAUAUUGAACCGCAUGGUUCAAUAGUGAAAGACGGUUUUGCUGUCACUUAUAGAUGGAUCCGCGCCGCAUUAGCUAGUUGGUAAGGUAACGGCUUACCAAGGCAACGAUGCGUAGCCGACCUGAGAGGGUGAUCGGCCACACUGGAACUGAGACAGGUCCAGACUCCUACGGGAGGCAGCAGGA
Molecule: ribosomal RNA, 265 nt
Filed under: uncultured Staphylococcus sp.
Lineage: Bacteria; Bacillati; Bacillota; Bacilli; Caryophanales; Staphylococcaceae
Description: partial 16S ribosomal RNA
Rfam family: Bacterial small subunit ribosomal RNA
Source: RNAcentral